Long non-coding RNA from Aquila chrysaetos chrysaetos, 629 nucleotides. RefSeq lists it as uncharacterized. Lineage: Eukaryota; Metazoa; Chordata; Aves; Accipitriformes; Accipitridae. The record is from RefSeq and is a predicted model, not a curated record. The transcript has 4 exons.
UUUAGCUUGUCCUUUUGAACUACAGGAAAGGGUCCUCUCUCUUGAGGAAGAAUUAGCAGACCAUUCUUUAAAGAGGACAUUUGGGAAGGAAGGCAUCCAAUGAGCUUAUGGCAGUAAGCUGUGGAAUGCUAUAUUUCAUUAAUCUCUGGUUUAUUUUAUUUUUGCGUUCAGUGUUUUUAAAUAUGAUAGUGAUAAGGAAUGCUGUAUUUCAUUAAUUUCUAUUAUUUUUUUUUUUAUUUUUGCAUUCAGUGACUUUAAAUACAGCAGCAGUGGGGAAAGGGAAGUUGCAGUAAAAAAGAUUUUGCUCUUAAGACUGUACAUGCCAAGACCUUCAGAACGGUUUUGACCUUGUCCUGCUAGAGGAAAUGCUGAUAUUCAUGACCACGCCAGUGGAAAUGAGGUUUCUCAUAGGAAGAUACAACCUGUCACGAUGCCUUGCCAAUCACAUGAGAACUGACCUAGGGAGAGCAUCAACUGAAGAAGAAAAUGUGAAGACACGACACGACAUUCAAGACAAAAUGCAAAGACCGAAACAAAUCAUGUACCAUUUGUGAUUUUCUUCUUCUGUAUUUUUUUUUUAAAUGCAGUCUUAUGCUUAAAAGUCAGUUCUCUACUUUUUGAUGUGCUUG